This 385-nucleotide ribosomal RNA is filed under the name uncultured bacterium. RNAcentral's name for it is "bacterial SSU rRNA". It matches the Rfam family "Bacterial small subunit ribosomal RNA", at positions 28 to 414 of the family's 1533-position model. The record is from RNAcentral.
GACGAACGCUGGCGGCGUGCCUAACACAUGCAAGUCGAGCGGUAAGGCCCUUUCGGGGGUACACGAGCGGCGAACGGGUGAGUAACACGUGGGUGACCUGCCCUCAGCUCUGGGAUAAGCCUGGGAAACCGGGUCUAAUACCGGAUAUGACUCCAUGACGCAUGUUGUGGGGUGGAAAGCCUUGUGCGGCUGAGGAUGGGCCCGCGGCCUAUCAGCUUGUUGGUGGGGUGAUGGCCUACCAAGGCGACGACGGGUAGCCGGCCUGAGAGGGCGACCGGCCACACUGGGACUGAGACACGGCCCAGACUCCUACGGGAGGCAGCAGUGGGGAAUCUUGCGCAAUGGGCGAAAGCCUGACGCAGCGACGCCGCGUGAGGGAUGACGG